AGUGAACGCUGGCGGUAGGCCUAACACAUGCAAGUCGAACGGCAGCACAGUAAGAGCUUGCUCUUACGGGUGGCGAGUGGCGGACGGGUGAGAAAUACAUCGGAAUCUACUUUUUCGUGGGGGAUAACGUAGGGAAACUUACGCUAAUACCGCAUACGACCUACGGGUGAAAGCAGGGGAUCUUCGGACCUUGCGCGAUUGAAUUAGCCGAUGUUGGAUUAGCUAGUUGGCGGGGUAAAGGCCCACCAAGGCGACGAUCCGUAGCUGGUCUGAGAGGAUGAUCAGCCACACUGGAACUGAGACACGGUCCAGACUCCUACGGGAGGAAGCAGUGGGGAAUAUUGGACAAUGGGCGCAAGCCUGAUCCAGCCAUACCGCGUGGGUGAAGAAGGCCUUCUGGUUGUAAAGCCCUUUUGUUGGGAAAGAAAAGCAGCAGGUUAAUACCCCGCUGUUCUGACGGUACCCAAAGAAUAAGCACCGGCUAACUUCGUG
Molecule: ribosomal RNA, 492 nt
Filed under: uncultured bacterium
Lineage: Bacteria
Description: partial 16S ribosomal RNA
Rfam family: Bacterial small subunit ribosomal RNA
Source: RNAcentral